Molecule: transfer RNA, 91 nt
Filed under: Blattabacterium punctulatus
Lineage: Bacteria; Pseudomonadati; Bacteroidota; Flavobacteriia; Flavobacteriales; Blattabacteriaceae
Description: tRNA-Ser
Rfam family: tRNA
About the family: Transfer RNA (tRNA) molecules are approximately 80 nucleotides in length. Their secondary structure includes four short double-helical elements and three loops (D, anti-codon, and T loops).
Source: RNAcentral
GGAGAGAUGGCCGAGAGGAUUAAGGCGCACGCCUGGAAAGCGUGUUCACAAAAAAAAAGUGUCAAGGGUUCGAAUCCCUUUCUCUCCGCUA